RNAcentral lists this small nuclear RNA (104 nucleotides) under Canis lupus familiaris (dog). The record is from RNAcentral. RNAcentral also lists the same sequence under 1 other name. Lineage: Eukaryota; Metazoa; Chordata; Mammalia; Carnivora; Canidae.
GUGCUCCCUUCAGCAGCACAUAUACUAAAAUUGGAACGAUACAGAGAUUAGCAUGGCCUCUGCACAAAGAUGACAUGCAAAUUCAUGAAGCGUUCCAUAUUUUU